CCUACGGGUGGCAGCAGUGAGGAAUAUUGGUCAAUGGCCGAAAGGCUGAACCAGCCAAGCCGCGUGAAGGACGAAGGUGCCAAGCAUUGUAAACUUCUUUUGUCAAGGGACAAAAUCAGGCUCGAGAGCCUGACCGAGGGUACUUGAAGAAAAAGCAUCGGCUAAAUCCGUGCCAGCAGCCGCGGUAAUACGGAGGAUGCGAGCGUUAUCCGGAUUUAUGGGGUUUAAAGGGUGCGUAGGCGGGCUGUUAAGUCAGCGGUAAAAGCCCGGGGCUCAACCCCGGCGAGCCGUUGAAACUGGCUGUCUUGAGAUGUCGAGAGGUAUGCGGAAUGCGCAGUGUAGCGGUGAAAUGCUUAGAUAUUGCGCAGAACUCCGAUUGCGAAGGCAGCAUACCGGCGGCGAUCUGACGCUGAGGCACGAAAGCGUGGGUAUCGAACAGGAUUAGAUACCCCUGUAGUC
This 459-nucleotide ribosomal RNA is filed under the name uncultured bacterium. RNAcentral describes it as "partial 16S ribosomal RNA". It matches the Rfam family "Bacterial small subunit ribosomal RNA", at positions 338 to 795 of the family's 1533-position model. The record is from RNAcentral.